UACAGAGGGGGCGAGCGUUGUUCGGAAUUACUGGGCGUAAAGGGCGCGUAGGCGGCCAACUAAGUCAGACGUGAAAUCCCUCGGCUCAACCGGGGAACUGCGUCUGAUACUGGAUGGCUUGAAUUCGGGAGAGGGAUGCGGAAUUCCAGGUGUAGCGGUGAAAUGCGCAGAUAUCAGGAAGAACACCCGUGGCGAAAGCGGCUCUCUGGAACGGUACUGACGCUGAGACGCGAAAGCGUGGGGAGCGAACAGG
RNAcentral lists this ribosomal RNA (253 nucleotides) under uncultured bacterium. Its description in RNAcentral is "partial 16S ribosomal RNA". It matches the Rfam family "Bacterial small subunit ribosomal RNA", at positions 524 to 776 of the family's 1533-position model. The record is from RNAcentral.